UACGGAGGGUGCGAGCGUUAAUCGGAAUCACUGGGCGUAAAGCGCACGUAGGCGGCGCAUCAAGUCAGGCGUGAAAGCCCUCGGCUCAACCGGGGAAUUGCGUUUGAAACUGUUGCGCUGGAGUCUCGGAGAGGUUGGCGGAAUUCCAGGUGUAGGAGUGAAAUCCGUAGAUAUCUGGAGGAACACCGGUGGCGAAGGCGGCCAACUGGACGAGUACUGACGCUGAGGUGCGAAAGCGUGGGGAG
This 245-nucleotide ribosomal RNA is filed under the name uncultured Desulfovibrio sp. RNAcentral's name for it is "partial 16S ribosomal RNA". It matches the Rfam family "Bacterial small subunit ribosomal RNA", at positions 524 to 768 of the family's 1533-position model. The record is from RNAcentral. Lineage: Bacteria; Pseudomonadati; Thermodesulfobacteriota; Desulfovibrionia; Desulfovibrionales; Desulfovibrionaceae.